GCCGGGGUAGCUCAGUCGGUAGAGCAGCUCACUCGUAAUGAGCAGGUCAGGGGUUCGAAUCCCCUCUCCGGCU
Molecule: transfer RNA, 73 nt
Filed under: Acidimicrobiia bacterium
Lineage: Bacteria; Bacillati; Actinomycetota; Acidimicrobiia
Also listed under: 2 other names
Description: tRNA-Thr
Rfam family: tRNA
About the family: Transfer RNA (tRNA) molecules are approximately 80 nucleotides in length. Their secondary structure includes four short double-helical elements and three loops (D, anti-codon, and T loops).
Source: RNAcentral